AUUGAACGCUGGCGGAAUGCUUUACACAUGCAAGUCGAACGGCAGCACGGGGGCAACCCUGGUGGCGAGUGGCGAACGGGUGAGUAAUACAUCGGAACGUGCCCAGUCGUGGGGGAUAACGUAGCGAAAGUUACGCUAAUACCGCAUACGAUCCACGGAUGAAAGCGGGGGACCGUAAGGCCUCGCGCGAUUGGAGCGGCCGAUGUCAGGUUAGGUAGUUGGUGAGGUAAAGGCUCACCAAGCCGACGAUCCGUAGCUGGUCGGAGAGGACGACCAGCCACACUGGGACUGAGACACGGCCCAGACUCCUACGGGAGGCAGCAGUGGGGAAUUUUGGACAAUGGGCGCAAGCCUGAUCCAGCCAUUCCGCGUGCAGGACGAAGGCCUUCGGGUUGUAAACUGCUUUUGUACGGAACGAAAAGGCUCUGGUUAAUACCUGGGGCUCAUGACGGUACCGUAAGAAUAAGCACCGGCUAACUACGUGCCAGCCGCCGCCGUAA
RNAcentral lists this ribosomal RNA (500 nucleotides) under uncultured bacterium. RNAcentral describes it as "partial 16S ribosomal RNA". It matches the Rfam family "Bacterial small subunit ribosomal RNA", at positions 29 to 523 of the family's 1533-position model. The record is from RNAcentral.